RNAcentral lists this small nucleolar RNA (139 nucleotides) under Ornithorhynchus anatinus (platypus). The record is from RNAcentral. Lineage: Eukaryota; Metazoa; Chordata; Mammalia; Monotremata; Ornithorhynchidae.
CCUCUCUCAGCGUCACACCUGGAGAGUUUCCAGUCCUCUACCAGUCUUGACUACGGGAGGAAAGAGUCAGGCAGAGGCCUAUCCAUUCCAUUCCUAGCUUGGGCAGUGGCUAGCGAGUGGAAAGCAAUCUGAUACAAGU